UCCCACAAGGAAUUGUGAAAACACUUUCCAGUAAGACAAACAAAACUAAAAAGAGAACUUGCUCAAAGAUUAUAUAUAUGCGAGCUCUUGCUGCUUCUAAUGGGUAAAAAAUAGGUGGAUUAUUGGCUCCCUGUUAUUCUCCAUUCUUGCUGAAGCCUUUGUAAAAAAAAAAAUCCUAUACUAUAUUUCCAGAGAAAGUAAAAGACAUAUAGGAGUAACGCGCAACUUCUGGUCUGUGCGCGUCAACCUUGCUGAGCCAACUCUGCAAGUUGAAAUUUCAACAUUCCGAGAAGAGUGGCUUGGCAAUCAAAUGAAUAUACCAUGUCUGGAAGCUUCAGAAAAACUUGACCAAUAGGCUCAUUCAAAUGGCUUAGAAAUCGACUGUAGGAUAAAGACCAGGCAUGUACGACCGCCCACUUCCAUUAGAAUCUACAUUAGCGUAAAAAUUGGAAUGUAGCUCCCCCGAGUGAGAUGAUUUGCGGGACUUGUUCUUAGGAGAAGCUGAGUAGUCACUGGAACCACUGCUAGUAUAAUACAUUGAUGAUGUUGGCAAUCCAUGGAUCUUUGGCAAGCCAGUUGGAUCAGAGCCCAAACUGUAUCCCCUUUCAACUGUUUCAGCUUCCAAUGGCAACUCAUCCAAUGUCCUAAAAGCCUGUUGAAGAACUCGAAGUGUUUCUCGUGUCCGCUUUCUUUUCAUCGCUAUCUCCUCUGGUUCCUGCAGCAUCUCUUCAAACAGGUUUUCUCUGUAAAGCUUUUUAAUGAAGACAUUGUGCAGUUCACGCUUUGUAUGGUUUACCAGAAAGUGCAUAAUUGCUUUUGGUACAGAGUCCUCAAUAUUCUUCCGAACAAUGUCAUAGUAUGAUCUCAAUAGCAAUUUAGUGACUGCAAUUUCAAUAGUCUCUUGCUCUGAAUGACUUUCUGAGGGUCUCAAGACAGUUGGAGGCUCUCUUAAAUGGAUCAAAGAAAUGCUUUGCUCCAAAUCAUCCAUGCUAUGAACAGGUUCAAUAUGUGACUUUGUUGUUGAGCCUUCUUUAGCAGACAUUCGGGAGUUAUCACUACCACCAAAAAUUGAUGAAAUACCCCAACUUGAGACACUCCCAGGGGUUGCAACCUUUUCAACAUCAGCCACAGGACGAACUCCCUGGUCAGCCACAACUCCAUUUACUUGUCUGGCAAGAAUUGCCCGAGACUUGAGGGUCCUCUCUGAUGUUGGGGCCUUGUCAAUCUCUGUACCGUCCUUUUGUCUCACUGGUAGGGAAACAGCCCUAGAAGACUUGACCUGUUGCAGUGCAAUUUCCACAGCCUUACUCCCACCAAUAAAAUUUGGGUGUGAGGUGUUUAUAUAAUCCAUCUCCAUUUCGAUAAUGUGGCCAAUCAUCGUCUCUGACGGAUCAAGACCAUCUCGCAAAAAGUUUCCGAUAACUUCAUCCAUACGCCUUCUUAGAACAGGAAACCUUUGCAGUUCAUUUACCAGACAGCGAUGGCUAAUCUUUAUUAAUUCAUCAUAUAUGAACCUAGCACACUGGAGGCUUGGAUCUAAUAAUCGAGCUAUCUGCCUUCGAACGAGAACUUCAAAUGGCACUUCUGGUACAAAUAGUGCAGAUCUAGGACCAGUUGCAUUCUGAAUUGCAGUUCGAAUGUCAUCAUCAGUCAAGUCCUCACAUGGAUCAACCUCCUCUAAACUCUUCACAAAGAUAGAUUGAAAUAUAUAGUGAAUGCGUGCUCCACCAGACAGCUCAGAUGUUGACAUUUGUUCAUUUUUGCCCUCUACCAUUGAAGAAAAUGCCUC
RNAcentral lists this unclassified non-coding RNA (1789 nucleotides) under Hevea brasiliensis (rubber tree). Lineage: Eukaryota; Viridiplantae; Streptophyta; Magnoliopsida; Malpighiales; Euphorbiaceae. The record is from RNAcentral.